This 433-nucleotide ribosomal RNA is filed under the name uncultured bacterium. RNAcentral describes it as "bacterial SSU rRNA". It matches the Rfam family "Bacterial small subunit ribosomal RNA", at positions 29 to 507 of the family's 1533-position model. The record is from RNAcentral.
AACGAACGCUGGCGGCAGGCCUUACACAUGCAAGUCGAGCGCGCCCUUCGGGGUGAGCGGCGGACGGGUGAGUAACGCGUGGGAACGUGCCCUUUCUACGGAAUAGUCUCGGGAAACUGAGAGUAACACCGUAUACGCCCUUCGGGGGGAAAGAUUUAUCGGAGAGAGAUCGGCCCGCGUCUGAUUAGGUAGUUGGUGGGGUAAUGGCCCACCAAGCCGACGAUCAGUAGCUGGUUUGAGAGGAUGAUCAGCCACACUGGGACUGAGACACGGCCCAGACUCCUACGGGAGGCAGCAGUGGGGAAUCUUGGACAAUGGGGGAAACCCUGAUCCAGCCAUGCCGCGUGAGUGAUGAGGGCCCUAGGGUCGUAAAACUCUUUCGCUGGGGAAGAUAAUGACGGUACCCAGUAAAGAAACCCCGGCUAACUCCGUG